GGAUCGACCAGCGCGGAUACAGUGCGCCUCAGCGUUUUCCCACCGAACUGGUGCUGUAGUAUUUUAAAAGCUUGGCUGAACCAGCGUAGCUGGCUGAGGACUACUUGCCAAACCUUGGCAGCACCGUGAACAGAACCACAUGACACAGCGAGUUUGGAGUGCGGCCUGGGGCUUCAUCUGGGGAUUCCUCUUUCGGGGACAGAUGGGAUAGGAAAGAAACCAGACAACAAAUAUUCUCAUAAAUAAACAAUUGUGAAAGUGGCAUUUUAGUGGGGAAGGAAGAAAAGCAGGCCAGAAUGAGCAGCUCACAGCUCGGAUGUGAGGGGAGGCUGCGGUUCAGGGUCGCUGUCAAAAAGAAAGCGGAAGAAACUAAAUUAUAGAGACACCGGAAUGAAAAAUGGUGGGAGUGAAUUAUCACAAACAGAAAUGGUCAUCUGCCCCCCUCCCCCAGAGAUGGAUGACAGCUCUGCCUCCCUCCACCUUUCUGACACCCAGAUAUCAAUCAAUCUGUUUCUUGUGUGGAACGCUGCAGAGAUAUGAAAGGCAGGCAGUGGUGUUUAGAAUAAAUCCUCAGCAAAAUACCCAUGUGACUUUGUGUUUAUGCAUUAGUCUGACAAGUGACCUGCAGCUGAAAUUGCCACUGGGUUCCCUGAACCAUGCCAACCACAUCAUGCCAGCUGUUCUACGCAGGUCAAGAAAAGUAUCAGAAUUUGUUAUCUGUAGUAGAGGGGCAGUAGAUACUGGCCAUGUCAAGGGCCUCCCCAAGACACAAUACCAUGCAUUCUCUGGCAUCAAGCAGGACUUUAAAAGAGUCAACAAUGAAUGUGAUGGAAGUGGCUAUGUAACAUUUUAGUCUAAAUAUCUGACACGUGUCCACAGCUGAGGUUUCUGGGCUCUGCUUUGAACAUUAAUAUUAUACAAAUCAGCUUAAUGGAAUGGAAAGGGGUUUGGAGAGAUGAUGGCCUGUUCAAGCUCUGCUAAAAACAAGAACACUCCCCUUCUGAAAAUUAUACAAAAAACUGAAGAUUCCUGUGCAAUGCUGUAUUGUGAUGCUCUUGGCUAAAGCUAUAAUGUGCAUGACCAUGCCAUAUCCCCAUUUUUCGACUGUAUCUAUGAAAUAGUAUGACUGCUGUGACCAGAGUCAGAUAAUAAAGUUAUUUUGUGAUUAA
Brienomyrus brachyistius is the source of this 1169-nucleotide long non-coding RNA. RefSeq lists it as uncharacterized. Lineage: Eukaryota; Metazoa; Chordata; Actinopteri; Osteoglossiformes; Mormyridae. The transcript is spliced from 2 exons. The record is from RefSeq and is a predicted model, not a curated record.